CAAGAACGACCAUCUCGAACCUAUGUGAACUUUGAGGAUGUUGCAGCAUGCAACAUGGGUGUUUUCAAAGGACCUGUGGUAUCCAUCUCCAGGAAACAGAUUGAAAUGGCAGCGGGUGAGCGCAAAAGACAGACAUCAUGGAAAAAAUGGUGCAUGUCCCUGAUGCCAUCUCUUAAUGGAUUAAAACAGACUUGGAGGUACAAGGUGAUAUCACUGAAUACUGUACAGAUCCACCUCUACUGGUAUUUGAUAUGCAAAUGAAAAAGACCAUGUUGCUGUUGGCACAGAACCACAUGGGCUGGGAAGGGCCUCCAGAGGACCUCUACUCACUCUCUCCUCCUCAUCAGUGCAGAUUAACAUCCAUUUCCAUUUUAAUAAUGAUGGUGAAUGCAAUGAGCAGGGCCAGAUGUGCAAAACAAA
Molecule: long non-coding RNA, 420 nt
Organism: Corvus hawaiiensis (hawaiian crow)
Lineage: Eukaryota; Metazoa; Chordata; Aves; Passeriformes; Corvidae
Exons: 4
Source: RefSeq, a predicted model, not a curated record